AUUCCUGGUACCCUGCCCCAACACGCUCCCCCUCAAAAAAAAAGAAUCCACAAGCAUGGCCACUAUUGUUUUUAAUUUGGAGUAUGAUAUCACAUGAGAUAUUAAAAGAAACUAAGUAAAAAGAGCAUGUGUAUUUUCUCACAGAGAUUAGUUAAGAAUUCUUGUAUUUGGAAAUAGCCUGUACAUGUUAGGAUAUUCAUCUGGCUUGUCUCCAUUCUGUUUGUGUGAAUGCACAAGUACAUUUAUAGGAGACAUAUUUAAUCAUUUAUAUGUUUGCAAUUAUUAUUUAUUUUACAUGUUUGCCUAUAUUAUACUAUGAGUUAAUAACAUGAUGUAACAAAAGUAAUCUCAUUAUUCUUAAAUAACAAGCUCUAAUGAUAUGAAUAGUAGAAAAUGGAGGAGGUUCUGAGCUAGAGGAAACUACAGUAAAGCAGGCUCAGCAAGCAAAAAGGAGCCACAAAUCACUUACCACAUACCCGGAAGGACUUCCAUUUCUAAUAAUCUUGCAUUCCAAGAUAAACCGUGAAUAAUAGGAACCUGCUAAGGGCCUUGACUAACAGGAAAUCCUAAAACUUUUGCCUCCAGAGAUAAGCCACGAAAACAGGAACAUCCUGUUUUUCUUACUUACCAAAAGACAGGAAGAUCUUGUUUGUUUUUCUAUUUUUUUUUUUGUACCAAGGAUUGAACUCAGGGACACUAGAUCACUGAGCCACAUCCCCAGUCCUAUUUUGUAUUUUAUUUAGAGACAGGGUCUCACUGAGUUGCUUAAUACCUCAUUUUUGGUGAGGCUGGCUUUGAACUUGUGAUCCUCCUGCCUCAGCCUCCCAAGCCAUUGGGAUUACAGGCAUAAGCCACUGUGCCCGACAACAACUUGUUCUUAUCCGAUUGAUUGGUUGAUUUUAUACUUAGUUUUUCUUUAUUCAACAACAGAAAUGGGGCUAUGCACACAAUUACACUUUCAUGAAAUGUCAUACUCUAAGUUCUGUAUAAAACUAAUUUUAAACAAGACAGAAACAAGUUUUUUCUUUUAUUUAUUUUUGAGUUACAGGUGGACACAAUAUCUUUAUUUUAUUUUUAUGUGGUGCUGAGGAUCAAACCCAGUGCCUCACGCAUACUAGGCAAGUGCUCUACAUCUGAGCCACAACCCCAGCCCCAGAAGCAAGUUUUUAAUAUACCCUUAAAUUAUAAGUCUAAGGCUUGUUAAUACAGUGAAACUACAACGUUCUUGUUCAUAUCAUUUUAAAAGAUACUGCAAUGAUUUAAUAACUGCUAUUCUACGUAAAUUUCCGUCCUCCAAAAAUAAAUUCCUUGAGGUUUGGAAAAUUUGAAAAUACACAGCUUCAUGUAAUCAACAGAACUUAUUAAAAACUAAUUUUUGAUAUAAUAGUAAGAUAGCAAAUUAAUUCAGAAAAAUAGAAUUUCAUAAAUCUAGAGUUGUAUUCAUCCUAAAUUUCUUAUAAAGUUCAUGUUAUCAACAUUCAAAAUGUGUAAGCAAUAAUGUCAUAAUUUCCCAAACAAAAUGGAAGCUUUCUUCAGCCCACACAUGUUUUUAUAAUCAGAAAUAUCUAAAACAGUUUUUACAAUUACAUUUUCAUAAUUAGAGUGACAAUGCUUAGAAGUUCUCUACCACAUGUAAACAUUAAGCAAUAGCUUUCCUACAAUAACCUCAUUUUAACUAAAUAUUUAGAUAAAAUUUUAAAAAUGGAUUGUUAUUAUCCUUGUAUUAUUUUUUAAGCACAGAUACACACAAAACUUUGCUUACAAGAUAGUUCUAUAUAGAAUAAAUUGUUAGUGAAAUUUGUAUUAAAAACUAUGUAUAAUUAAAUGUAGUUCACAGGGUACAUCAUUAUGCUUCUCACAAGAGAGGACAAUUAUAGAUGAGAUUAUCUAGAAGAAAGUAUAAUAUGAACAUAACCAUUCAUACAUAAAAUUCGGGGAGGUCUCUCUGAAGUUUAUGCAGGUGACUUACUUGUAAUUGUACAGUGUGAACUUGUAGAGGAAAAAAAUAAUACAGUAACCCUUGAGUCCCACACAUACAAAUUAAGACUGUAUUCUUCAGGCUGUCUCAAUAGCACUGGAUUUGGCCAUUUCCUGUUUAAAAAGAUGGUAGCCCUUGAUAAGACUAUUGGAUAUUACCAUCUAAAUGUACUUUCUUAAACAUACAGCAUUUGUGAAUGUGAUCCCUCUUCAUCCAUUUUGGUAUAUACAUUUCAUCUCUUUUCGUUGAUGGUAAGACUAAUUGAAAUAAUUCUGUAACUAUAAAAUUAAACCAUUUGGUAGCUUUUUCAAAUUGAAGUCAUAUAGUUUCUCUCUAAAAAGAACUGAUAAAGCACCAUGUAAAUAAAAAACCGCCACCAAGAUAUUUGAUGCUUUCAUCUAAACCUUGAACAGGAUAAACCCUCUUGAAAGACAAAAAUUCUGUCUUCAUACUAGUUCCAUCCAAAGAAAAAUGGGGAAAAAAAAAGGUUACUUCCGAUUAUAGACAAUGAAUAAUUAUAAAAAUAAAAUAAUUAUAAAAAAUUUUCUCCAUCUCAUGACUUAAAAGUUGUAACAUGAAUAAGUGCAAUAAAAGUCUGUGGUGUGAACACAGUGUUUCCAGAACACAAUAUUUAGAAAAAUUAGCACAUCAGUCCUUAUGGAAGAUAUUUAAAAAUGGAAAACAUCUGCACCCUUCCUUAAUAUUGAAGGUUAGCUUCUUGAAAACAUUUAUAUAUGUGUAGUCUUAAAAGACAUUCUGACAGUCUUUAAUCUUAUCAUACCUUAUUAUAUGUAAUUAAGAUGUGCUAUCAAAUCCCAAUAUAGCAGAAUGUGUAUUAGAAAGUGAGGCAUGGUUCUAAAUUAUAAAUUGGCUCCUCAAACUCUGAUUUUUAUAAAAUUACUAGAAAACAAUAAUGUCAUUUGCAGAUGUAGGAUGGAUAUGAGUUGGAAGAAACUGGGAAGAUUUAAAUCUCUGAAGGAACUCUGAUUAAAAUUGACAACCCUCACCUCUGGGACCAAAGCAACUAUUCUGAAAUGGCAAUAACUUCCUUUUCUUAAAUGAAACCAUGGUUGACAAAUGUGAACAUCUUAAAAUGAGGAACUUAAAAAAAUAUUAUCUCCCAUUAUUAAUGACUGGGUCCAGAAAUUGCUUUUUUCCAAGCACUUAUUCAUUAAUAUAUAAUGUUAAUUUGUACAAUAUAUGUAACAUUAUUUUUUAAAAGUUUUUUAUAAAAUUGAUGUCUUUAAUAUUUUAUUAAAGAUAAAUGAACAGUUGAAAGCAAAAAAAAAUUAAUGGCACAUGGAUUUAAAACUAUUUAAAAAGUGAAAGAAGUGGUGUAUAUAAGUUUUAUCCAAAAGUAACAUACAUGUCAACCUAUUAAUGAAGUGGAUUCUAGCAAAAGCUACAGCUCAAAUUCAGUUUAUUUGGAAGGUAGGAUUAUGCAAAUUAAGUACAAAUAGAAUCUGACUUACUAUCCUGGUAAAGCUAGGAAAAGAAAUGAAGUUUAAUUUGCCAUAAUAUUCACUGUGAUCUCCAAGGCUACCUAAAUGGCUAUUUCACAAACUAGAAUUUGAAUCUGAAACCAGCUGUAGAACUGUAAUAGAAAUAAGACUAAACUCCAGUGUCUACAAUCAAUUUUAUUUCAAUAUAAUCUUGUUAAGGCACUAUUUCCAAAUUCCCAAAUAAAACUCCGGGUCUGUUUGAAGCGAAGACAAAGGCUUUAUUGCCAGCCAGGGUCAAGAGCACAGAGACCAAGCAGUUCUGCAACCCUCAACCUUGAUUGGGGAUAAGACCAAGCUUAUAAGUCUUACAACCACAAAGAAGCGGGAGGCAGGAGAAAUAAUAUUUACAAUAUACAUUUCAUACAAGUGGAAAAGUACCAGGCUAUGAAAAAAAAUCAUACUCUCAGAAAUUACAUUUUCAGAGAAAAAUUUGCAUUAGUUCCAUAGAGCAAAGAUAUUGUGGUCAGGGUGCAAGCAAGUAGGUGGGGGUGGAGGUGUUAUCCUUCAAUGCCAGUGGGCUCAUGUGGAAAGGGGCCAGUUUCACACAGGGUGAAUGAGGUGUCUGAACAAAAUGGGGUAAGUCUGAGCUAAUUUUCAAAUCAGUCCAUAACAAUCUAAACACAUGCCAUUUAGAAAAUACCAAGAAAAAUGUAUAUACCGUUGUGGUGCGAACUGAUCAACAUAAUCAAUAAGUUACUAAUACUGGUUGUAAAAGCAAUUGCUAUGGUAAAAUUACCUGAUCAGCAAGAAUGGAGUCACUAUGGCUAUAGGAGCAAACAGGUAGGCCAUAGGGACCCGGUGUCAGCUAUUCUAGACUCCACCUUAGUUUUUCUGUUAUUGCUUCUGUGAAGAGACAGUUGCAGGACUCAUUUCUGAGAAAACAAAAUGAAAGCUGUUUUCUGCUAAAUUCAAAAAAAAAAUAUUGUUUUCUGUACUUUGUAUCCCACAAAAUGUACUCAACCCAGAAUAUGGAAGUCUUGGUAACCCAUAUAACUUUGAAGUCCCCCCAACCAACUGCUUGACAGUUGUCUAGCACCUGCUUGAACCCAAGAUGCAGUUCAUUAGGUUGUUCUGCUAACAGCUUUUUUGCUUCUGUAACUUGCUUGCUUGCUAACUGAAAAAUUUCAAAGGAUGUGGUUUUCCUCCUUAAAUAGCAGAUUUCCCUCAGAGGAGGGUGAAGUCUUUCAGAGAGCCACUUGGACUCUGUUAGACUCAGCCCCUGACCAGGUAUAAUUGGCAAAAUAGGUAAAAUAAAAAUCCUUCAAAUUAUUUCAAAUUCAGACUUGGUGUGUUUUCUGAGUGGUCUUCCCAGGACAGUACGAGAGUUGAUGCUAUUGCAUUUGGAUAAAGCUGGCGAGUUCUUGCUACUUAGCACAGCCCAGGAAACACCACCACCAAGGAAACCGAAUAUAUUGGAAUAGAUGUUGUGGCAUUUGGCCCACAGAGCUCUCAGAUUUAACCUGAAGUUGUCAAUGUUUGGUACUAGGUGUAAAAUUUCAUCUCUUACUGUGCAACCAUUAAGACUUCUUAUGCAUCGUACAUCUAAAUUUUUAAGCAGAUCGUCAUCUUGUAUAGGUCCAAAUCUUCUGCAAUAACAAAAUAUCAACCUCUAUCCCAGAGUUUGAUAACUAAUACAAACGCCUCUUCAACAGCUCUUAAAUCUUUAACUUUUUCUUAUAAUUUCAAUUUAUAGAACAAAAUGAAAAAGUCACUGCGAUCAACAUAUCUUGGUGCAACACACAAUGCAUCAAUAUCCGCACCUUUUGUAUGUAUUCCUAAUCUGUAACGUAGAUUCAAAUCUAAAAAAUCUUCCUCCAACAUUUUCAGUUACAGAUUGUGGAAGAUUCUUGCCUUCACUGAUUUCUCCUAUCCACUCUUUCACCGAGUUAUUUAAUUUUUCUAAAAUUAAAGUCCGCACUGCAGCUCCUCUUCCUUUUCAAAAACCCAAAAGGGCUUCAGAGUCUCAAUUAGUUUCUGUGUAAGAAUGUAGUCAGUCUUAUUGGGGGCUGCUAAGCUGAUAGGAGAAGUAAUGUCACAAUGCUUCUGUGGCUGGAAAGGGCAAGUCUCCUGCUCUGGCACGGCCCAGUAACUCCCCCCACCCCAAUCCCCACUGCCCGGCUGGGCAGGCUCCACCGAGGCCAGAGGGAUGGAGGGGGCUGGGUCCAAUCGCACUCUGAUGCUUUAAGCACUUCUCCUCCUUUCCCUUUGUCCGAACAUGGCGCCCCUCUUAUCCCAUUUACAUUGUUAACUGACAUAGCUGAGCUAUAAAUUCCUCAUUUCAUUUUAAU
Molecule: long non-coding RNA, 5768 nt
Filed under: Marmota monax (woodchuck)
Lineage: Eukaryota; Metazoa; Chordata; Mammalia; Rodentia; Sciuridae
Source: RNAcentral